Molecule: ribosomal RNA, 580 nt
Filed under: uncultured Pezizales
Lineage: Eukaryota; Fungi; Ascomycota; Pezizomycetes; Pezizales
Description: eukaryotic LSU rRNA
Rfam family: Eukaryotic large subunit ribosomal RNA
Source: RNAcentral
GGGAUUGCCUCAGUAACUGCGAGUGAAGCGGCAAAAGCUCAAAUUUGAAAUCUGGCGUCUCUGACGUCCGAAUUGUAAUUUGGAGAGGCAACUUCGGUGAUGGCGCCGUCCUAAGUUCCUUGGAACAGGAUGACACAGAGGGUGAGAUCCCCGUACCUGGGUGGCUGUCCAUCGCCAUGUGAAGUGUCUUCGACGAGUCGAGUUGUUUGGGAAUGCAGCUCAAAAUGGGUGGUAAAUUUCAUCUAAAGCUAAAUAUUGGCGAGAGACCGAUAGCGCACAAGUAGAGUGAUCGAAAGAUGAAAAGCACUUUGAAAAGAGAGUUAAAAAGUACGUGAAAUUGUUGAAAGGGAAGCGCUUGAGACCAGACUCGAUUCGUGGUGAUCAGCUGUGCUUCUGUGCAGUGCACUUGCCAUGGAUUGGGCCAGCAUCGGUUCCGACGGUGGGAUAAAAGGUUAAGGAAUGUAGCUUCCUUCGGGGAGUGUUAUAGCCUCAGCCAUAAUGCCACCAGUUGGGACCGAGGACCGCGCUCCGGCUAGGAUGCUGGCGUAAUGGUCUUAAGCGACCCGUCUUGAAACACGGA